GGAAAGAAAGUUCCCCCUGUCAAUGUUACGACUUCAAAACAAUCUGAUGCAAGGCCACCAGACAUGGGCGCUCUUUGUAUAUAGUCAGUAUUUUUUAGGUUUUCAUGUUCAUACCAAUUUAUCCUCUGCUUUACAAUAUGGAUGAGAUGUCACAACUUCCCUGUGGCUGGCUCACAACAUGAUUUCUGGAAGCUUGAUAUCCCAAAGUACCGUAUUUGAUAUUUCGUAGUUGCUGAUUAUUCCAUAUACUGUUUUGGAGGACCAUCAGAUCCUACAGUACUUUGUCAUCCUCCAAGGACUUGAUUCGCUGGAAGUGAGAACAUGGAGGUGAGAAUCCAAGAGGAAUUCGAUCAACUAAUUAUUGAUUUGUGAGGAAUGACCCCCAUUUAUUUUCAAGAGUACCUUGGUAUUGGCUGGUGCAACUCGCGAAACCUAUUUUAUACUAUUCAAGACUCUUAAA
Molecule: unclassified non-coding RNA, 460 nt
Filed under: Hevea brasiliensis (rubber tree)
Lineage: Eukaryota; Viridiplantae; Streptophyta; Magnoliopsida; Malpighiales; Euphorbiaceae
Source: RNAcentral